Pimephales promelas (fathead minnow) is the source of this 2807-nucleotide non-coding RNA. The record is from RefSeq and is a predicted model, not a curated record. NCBI's taxonomy places the organism in Eukaryota, Metazoa, Chordata, Actinopteri, Cypriniformes, Leuciscidae.
GACAAACAACACCAGCUGUUGACAAAUGAACACAAUGUGCCAAAUAUUUCAAGUUGUCUUCUGAAAUUUGUGCACAAUAUCUGCAAGUUGACUUCAGUCAAAGUACAUCACAUCGAGACAGAUUUUAGCUGGGCAUUGAUCCAAAGUGUUCUGUUCUCAUUCAACAAAGAAAAUGUUGACACUUACUUGCACAGGGCACACACAAAAUGUCAUUACAGACUCCAGAAGAAGGACCUAAUGAGAUUCACAGUGGUGCAUAUCUGUGCUACACAAAUGGUGAACACCAUCUCAAAUGCAGUCAGCAAAGUGACAAAAGACAAGGGUUGCACAACUUUGCAAAACAGCACCAGUCUUGAACAAGCUAAAGCAAUCUUUCUGCAGAUGUGCUUUGUCUUUUUGGCUGAAAACAAACACAAACUCAAAACCUACAUAAAGCAAAUCGGUUUGGAUGUUGAGGAUGACAUUUGCCUCAAGGCAUGCAUCCCUGCAGAAGAUGGCAUUCCAAUGUCAAAAAACACAAUAAUUGGAUGCAUUUGGUAAAGUAAUGGAAGAGGCUAUGGAGCUAAUGUUACUGACAUUGCAAUUCAAGAAGAUGAUUUUGAAGUACGUGAGGAAGGUGUCCAACUUGAUAACACCAAGCAGCUAAAGACAUGGUCAGAAGUAGCUGCAAUCAAAGAUCCUCAAGAAAAGGUCAUCUUUUUUCCUUUAAUGUUGUGAAAAAAUUGUGUUCUGUGAAAAACAUAACAUGCAAAUAAAAACUUUCUUUAUAGAUGCAUGCUCUCUGGAAGACAGACAUCGAAGAGGCUGUCAUCGCUUCUCUGCCUUUAAGCCGAGAAAACCACAAGCACACUUUGGUUAUGAGAGUAAAAGACUUCAAAACACUGUGUCCCCAACAAUGGCUAUGUGGAGAGGUAAGAUUUUUUAAGUGAAAAAAUGGACAUCAAACCAUUGAAGACAAAAGACAAACCAUUGCAGCGCAGAGAAGCGCGAUGGAUGAACUUCAGGGAGAGCUCGGUGAGCAAAAUGCAGCUCUGGUGAAAGUAAUGGAGAUGACCAUGGCGAAAUACUUUAAGGAGGCUGACGAGAAAUCAGAAGCUCGCUUCAAUAGACUUGAGAAACGAAUUGAUAAUAUGCAUGCAACUCUCUCGCGGCACACGGAAGAGAUAAAGAACAUUCACACUGAAUCGGUGAACCUCCGGGAACGUGUGGCCAAUGUGGAAAAAUCGGCUGCCCUAAGUUUGAAGAAUCUACAAACUUAUGAAGCUAAACUAAUCGAGAUGAAGGACAGGGCACGCCGGGAUAAUUUGCUCGUAUUUAAUCUCAAGGAAAGAGUUGAAGGGGCGAAUGCUCGCGCCUACCUGAUGGAUAAGAUCUUGGAAUGGUUUCCUGCCCUCGAAUCCUCGCGGCCUGAGCUGAUGAGGUGUCACCGCCUGGGUAAACCUCCUACGCAUGGUUCUGCAAAGACCCGUCCUCGUCCGCUUAUGGUUAAGUGCCUCCGUUUUACGGAUCGAGACCGCCUGCUUGGUGAGGCGAGGAAAAGCCCUCCUGAGGUGGAUGGCGAGCUACUGACAUUUACUGCAGAUUAUAGUGAGUCUACAACAAGGCGUCGGAAGCCGUGCUAUAAGAUCAUGUAUGAUGCCCGUUGCCUUGGAUUCGAGGCCUUUCUUCUCUCUCCAGCUACAAUUAAACUUUCACGGGGGAAAGAAAUGUAUACGUUUCAAAAGUUACGCACAACAAUGUGCGCUCAGGGUGUUCCUUGGGGUAUUAAGUUGGGGAAUCAUCCCCUUCACGAAAUCUGUGCCACUAAGGGUAAAAUUAAAGAAAAGAUUGGUGUGAGAUCAGAUGGAGGCCAAUGAAACUUAAACACACAAACCAGCAGGAUGGAAGUAGUUGCAGGGCUUUUGUUAUGAAGUUUGGUGAGGUGAUACUCGGGUUGGCUGUACCAAACCAUUCAUCCAUCGCGGCAAGGCUGGAGGCAAUAUCUGAAAUUAGGCAACAGAUGGCAGCUGCUUCUUCAGAGCCUAUUGAAAGUGUUUGCCAGUCUUGUGGCUGCAAAGAGAUCGCUGAGAAUGCACUGUGGUGUGAUAUCUGCUUGCAUGGGCACAUUCAAAAUGUACGAAUCUGACCCUGAAGGAGUCAGUGACCCAGUCCAUGGCUUUGCACAUUUUGUGUUGUGUAUUGAUGACACGAUGCUGUAAUGAAAAGUAAUAUUAUGCUAUUUUGUUAACAAAAGUUUCUAUAAAAGGGCCAACUAAAGACAGUGAUGUUGUUUUAAUGCCUUAUUGUGAAAGAUAGAGUACUUUGAGAAAUGAAAAUGUAGAAUUAAAGUUUAUUUCUAUAUUUCUUAUCCAAGUGUGUUAAUUACAAGGUUGAUUCAUUCUUAACAUUUGUUAUACCUACAUAAUUUUAAACUGAACUAUUUUUUUUAAUCAUACCAAGCUAUUUGUAUCUUGUGAAUCGGUUUCUCAGCCCUGUUACACUGACAUUAUAAUAAAACUGUUCAUUUCAUGAGAAUGUGAAUCACAGUUUCUUUGUAAAUCAGAAUGGUUAAGUUAACCACUCAGGAAAGGGUUAACUGACCCAAAGUGUUCUGUAAAAGUUUUCACAAAUCAGGUUCAAUCUACAAGUGUUUUUGUAAUCCAGCGGUGUGUGUGUUUAUUAUAAAUUGUUAUUAUACAUUGUUUAAACAUGAAAAACGUCUAUUUUCCACAUUCAUGUCUACCGACAAGAGCUUUGCUGUGAAAAAAAAUUCACAAAUCAAGCAUGUCAAGAUGACACUGGGUUCAGACUCCUAAGUGACCGACUUU